GCAGGUCAGUUGGUAGAGCAUGAGAAUUUUAAUUUCAAGGUUGGUGUGUUCAAGCCCCAUGUUGGGCA
Podarcis lilfordi (Lilford's wall lizard) is the source of this 68-nucleotide non-coding RNA. The record is from the annotation of a GenBank genome assembly. NCBI's taxonomy places the organism in Eukaryota, Metazoa, Chordata, Lepidosauria, Squamata, Lacertidae.